This 1564-nucleotide long non-coding RNA is filed under the name Cyanistes caeruleus (blue tit). Its description in RNAcentral is "lncRNA (ENSCCEG00000012656.1)". The record is from RNAcentral. Lineage: Eukaryota; Metazoa; Chordata; Aves; Passeriformes; Paridae.
UAUCCAGAGAAAGAAAAAGAUAGUGAUCAACAUGAAAAGAGACUUUAUAAACUAUCAGUGACAGGAAAGAAAAGAAGCUUCAGAAGAGGUAGAGAAUUAAGAAGAUGCUUUAAUUAAGCUGAAAUAUCUCUCUGUUAAAACUAUGGAGAUGGACAAUGAAGUCCUGAAAAGAACUCCUUUAAUUCAUGGUACAGUAUCUAGAGAGGAAUAAAGUGUUCAAAGUGUAAAUUUGAGUAAAAAGUAGAGUAACUAUGGUAUAGUGAAGUGCUGGGAGAUUUGAAGCCUUGAGAGGCAAUGAGAAAACUGUUUUCUAGUGAAGCUCACAAAAACAGAUGAAGAAGACUUUUUUGCCUUUGAAUAACUUAUCCUUAAAAAUGCUAUCUCUAGACUCAUGGCUCAUACACACUUCAGAGUGAUGUGAAAAUGGGAGGAGUGAACUCUAAUAAUAGCAGCUCUGGGCAGCUAACAUUAGGGCAAUGGAAAACUAUAACAAAAAUAGUUUUCUUGUGAGAAACUCCAUAAAUUAACAGGAAGAAACUUCUGUUUCUCUGCAAAGACUGGUGAAAAGACUGUAGCAAGAAUUGGGACUGUUUUAACCAUCAAAGUUCCAAAGUUUUUGUCUCUGUUGUCAUGUGAACAAAGGAAUAGUGGGUAGAUAGGAGAUGGAAAGGUUUUUCUGAAGUUUAUUCUGGUGUUCUUAUUAUUGUAAUUUGUCAAUAAACUUUCUUUUUUUUUUCCCUUUUAAGUUUUAUGCCUGUUUUGCUCUUGUUCUAAUCCAUAUGUCACAGCAAGAAAUAAGUAAUUUUCUUAGUUAUUGAUUUAAAACCACGACACCCUGUUAAAAAACAAAUCAAAACAAACACAGAAAACACCCCCAAACACUAGCAUUCUUCAUCUUCUUACUAAACAGUACUUUCUUGGGGAGCUUAAUUAUUUAACAAGCAGUUUAAUUCACCUCAUCAACCCAUUCUGCUUGAUCUUUCUUCUGCAGCUGGCUGCACCAGGCUGCUGUGCCUGCUCCCAAACUGCCAGCUCCACACAGCCUCAGUAUCCACAGCAUCUGGAAGUAUGAUUUUCCCUACUCAGUGCCAGCCACCAUCCCUGCAAAGCUCCUGCAUGGACCCCAGCACAUCACUUAUCCAAAGUGCUGCCAAGCACUGGACAGUACGAAGACAUCAAGCAAAAGCUCAACAGAGAGAAGCUUUGCAAGCUAUUCUAAGAUAAAAACUCCAAAGAUGAUCCAAAAUCCAGUGAAGUCUGUGAAAAACCUCCCUCUCCCUUUUCUUUGGAAUCUGUCUCAAAUGAGGUGCUGCACUUUUGUGCCAUGCUUCCCACUCUCCCCAAGGGAAACAACAGUGACUACCUGGCUCAAGCUUUUGUUCCUUGCACAAAGCACUGAAGAGGAGAUGGCAGCACCUCAGCUUCUCACUGAAACAGCCUAAACAAUAAGCCAAACAUGUUUAUGUGGGAAUGUAUUUGAGUGUUUAUAUGCCAGCUCUGUUCUUAGAGACUCUCACUGUAGGAAAAUGAGAAAAUAAAGUACUUAACUGUGCAAGUAAUUUCA